AGCUUUGCGCAGUGGCAGUAUUGUAGCCAAUGAGGUUUAUCCGAGGCGCGAUUAUUGUUAAUUAAAAUUCGUUCUGGAGAUUUCCUCCAACUCUCCCUGAGACUGUCAUGUGUUACAAGGGACGGAGCGCUCACCAAAGUGUCUGAAAGCAGGUGUGGAGGCUCUAUAUAAUGAAACAAAUGGAAAAUAUUGAUUUUGUUUCUUUUCG
This 208-nucleotide small nuclear RNA is filed under the name Physeter macrocephalus (sperm whale). RNAcentral's name for it is "Physeter catodon (sperm whale) U4 spliceosomal RNA (ENSPCTG00005016843.1)". The stretch from base 1 to 75 matches the Rfam family "U4 spliceosomal RNA". Lineage: Eukaryota; Metazoa; Chordata; Mammalia; Artiodactyla; Physeteridae. The record is from RNAcentral.